CACAGCAGAAAUAGCCACUCGAUACUCCCACUUCCUCACUUUCAGAUACAGCACAGGUCUGAUCACAGCCAGGUAACGCUCCAUACACAUACAGGACAGCAGCAGCGGGCAGCCAAUCAGGUUCAACAUAUUGAAGGCAUCUCUUGCCACGUGCACCGGAUUUGUAGUGUUGGGUUCUUGCCAGUUGGAGGGGAAAAAGUCUAAUGGAGAAAAAAUGAUACGAGAGCAUGAAAGACAGGUAGACAAGAUCCAUCACAACGAUAUUCACACCAAGAACCUGAAAGACAAAGGUUCAGACAGGCAGUUCAGGAAGAGCCAAAGCAGGACGGUGUUAGCUAACGCUCCCGUGACCAGGAUGAAAAUGUCAACGAUGAACCAGAUGUCAUCCCAUGCUGUACUGCCACAGUAUGUGUCGAUGGCUUCGAGAAUUCUUUCUUUUACCAUAUUGCUGAAAAUGCAAUGACAGGACACGAGAGGCUGGAAAUCUCUGUUGCUGUCAAACCUCAACAAAACCUGCCAAAUCCAAGAGAGUGAUCAUCAACAUUUGAAGUUAUCUGGUGUCAGAGAUUUGCAUUAGAGUGUAUCUAUAAAUUAAGAGGCAUGAUAAAGAAGAUAGAACAUUUUUGGCUCUUUAAACUUCAAUUCCUCCUCCCCUGUAUUGGGUUUUGAAUAAACUGGGAGAAUUAUUUUUAGAAGAAGUUGUGUCUAUGUGCAU
This is a long non-coding RNA of Notolabrus celidotus (New Zealand spotty), 715 nucleotides long. RefSeq lists it as uncharacterized. The record is from RefSeq and is a predicted model, not a curated record. Lineage: Eukaryota; Metazoa; Chordata; Actinopteri; Labriformes; Labridae. The transcript has 3 exons.